CCUUACAGCUGGUUGUAAAAGAGCCUGGUAGGAAAUGAGGAUUUCCCUCUUUACAAAUGUAUCAAUUGAGGUCCAGUGGUUUUCCUAAGGUCCUGGAUGAAAACCCUGCCAUGAUAAUCAUCUAUAUUUGAAUGGCAUCCACACACUUGUCCUUGGCCUCCUUGACUUUUUCUCACCUGGUCCACCCCUGAUUCACCACACCUCUUUGUCCAGCCUCCCUGGAGAAGCAGCCCUUCUACUCUGCCUGCACCAGCACCAGCUGAUUUUUAGCCUUGCUGUUUUAUUCUCCUAAUCUUUAGCUGGCUGUCUCUCCCUCACCUUCGAGAUCUCAACUCAAAUAUUGUUUUCUCAAAGGGACUUCCCUAUAACCCUACCCAAAGUAGUUGCCUCUCAUCACCCUGUAUCACAUGGCAUUUUUUAUUUCCUUUACAGCUCUCGCAAACAUCUGAUCAUUUCUUGUUCCUGCUGUCAUUGGUGAUACUGAUUGUGGUGUUAUUGGGACUCUACCAGAGAAACAGAAUGAUCGGAUAUAUGUACCGACCAUCAAGGACACUUCCCAAAUCCCCACCUCCACCCGUGACAUCUAGAUGGGAGCAUGUGGCAGAUUGCAGCCAAUGGAAUAUAGGCAGAAGUGACAUACACAUCACCUCCAGAUCUGGCCAGAGAACCCUCUGUAGAUGCUCCCAACCCCUUUUCUUCCCCACAGCUGUGGGAUGAGAAGCCAAGUUCGCCAAGGCCAUAGAUGAUGGCCUGGGACAGUCGUGGGGUGGAAAAAGCCCGAGUCCUCAAGUCACCCUCUAGAAGACCAUCAUUCUGGAGAGCGGUCCUGCCAGAAACAGCCCCACUGGACUUGGACAAGGUGGAAAGGAAUCAGAAGUGACUGUCUUUACUUGAAAACGAGGUAAGGAUAGUUCCUAUGUGUAGAGAUACGGAUUAGACUUUCUCCAGGGAGUCAGGCUUAUCGCCGGGAAGGAGAAAAUGAGCUCAAGCAGGGCUUGAUUAAAAGAAGUGGAGAUGUUGUUUGGAGCAUCGACUCCGUGUCCAACCAAAGUGCUGUGGACUUGUGAGGAAGCCACUUCUCAUCCAUGGCUGCACUGGCCUGCCUCCCUUGCAUCUAGAUGGGAUCAUGAAAUAUCACCGACAGGACUGGACUGGAAGUCCUGUGACUCUUUUAGACCAAUGAACUUGGGAAGCAAGUGCCUGCACCAGCCCCCUUUUCCCUUCCACUGGCUUCCUGCAGAAGAGCACGUCACCGAGAAAUCACAGAAGGGAUGACAGAGCCACAAUGUGGAAGGAGCCUGGGUCCUGGAGUCUCUACUUGGAGACGAGCUAACACCAAUUAGAAGGAUCCAUGUUGGACAUUAGGUGAGUGAGAAAUCAACUUCUAUUUUGUUUAAGUUGAUAUACUGGGGAAUUUUUUUAGGGUAGCUAGUAUUAGCUGAUAGUGUGACACUCAGCCCUAGAAUUGGGACUAGUACUUUUUCUUCACAUUCAUGAAUAUGUAGCAAGUAUGUUGCUCCCAUCCCUGCCAUGCCCAAUGGAAAUAUUGUUGCUUGAUGAUAGUGUUUUUGUCAGUCUUUAUGUGGUUUCAGAAACCCUCUUAACAAGGCUGUUUUUACCAAAUGAUUGAAUUUGGGAUUCAGAAUAUCUCUUUGCUAUACUAGCAUGAUUGUAAGUUUCUUGAGCUGAAGGUUUAACAUCUAUCACUUAUCAUAUUGCAGUUCAACGUUGUUGAAGGAAGGAAGGAAGGAGAGAUGUUUUAGAAAGAUCUAUUUCUCUAUACGUAUAACCAUCUUUAGGCCACAGAGCUACCCCAGAAGCUUGGGGAACGGGGCAUUGAGACAAUUAUCAGGAUAAUUCAACUCAGGGUAUUUGGAAUUCUUUUGUGGCACAGCAGAACGAAUCCAACUAGGAACCAUGA
Molecule: non-coding RNA, 1921 nt
Organism: Sus scrofa (pig)
Lineage: Eukaryota; Metazoa; Chordata; Mammalia; Artiodactyla; Suidae
Source: RefSeq, a predicted model, not a curated record